CUUGGUCAUUUAGAGGAAGUAAAAGUCGUAACAAGGUCUCCGUAGGUGAACCUGCGGAGGGAUCAUUGAAGAGUUAGGGCCCCCGGCCCGACCUCCAACCCUUUGUACUUGAUACCAUGUUGCCUCGGGGGCGACCCUGCCGUCCGCGGUUUGGGGCCUCCGGCGGACCACUCAACUCUGCAUCUUUGCGUCUGAGUAACUUUGUAAAUUAAACAAAACUUUCAACAACGGAUCUCUUGGUUCUGGCAUCGAUGAAGAACGCAGCGAAAUGCGAUAAGUAAUGUGAAUUGCAGAAUUCAGUGAAUCAUCGAAUCUUUGAACGCACAUUGCGCCCUCUGGUAUUCCGGGGGGCAUGCCUGUUCGAGCGUCAUUACACCACUCAAGCCUCGCUUGGUAUUGGGCGCCGCGCCUGCCGCGCGCCUUAAUGUCUCCGGCUGAGCUCAUCGUCUCUUAGCGUUGUGGCAAACAAUGUUCGCUUGUGAGACUGACGGGUUCGCGCCGUUAAACAUCUUCUAAAGGUUGACCUCGGAUCAGGUAGGGAUACCCGCUGAACUUAAGCAUAUCAAUAAGCGGAGGA
This 577-nucleotide ribosomal RNA is filed under the name uncultured fungus. RNAcentral's name for it is "eukaryotic LSU rRNA". The stretch from base 217 to 370 matches the Rfam family "5.8S ribosomal RNA". Lineage: Eukaryota; Fungi. The record is from RNAcentral.